Molecule: ribosomal RNA, 465 nt
Filed under: Vreelandella stevensii
Lineage: Bacteria; Pseudomonadati; Pseudomonadota; Gammaproteobacteria; Oceanospirillales; Halomonadaceae
Description: partial 16S ribosomal RNA
Rfam family: Bacterial small subunit ribosomal RNA
Source: RNAcentral
CCUACGGGUGGCAGCAGUGGGGAAUAUUGGACAAUGGGGGGAACCCUGAUCCAACCAUGCCGCGUGUGUGAAGAAGGCCCUCGGGUUGUAAAGCACUUUCAGUGAGGAAGAACGCCUGGUGGUUAAUACCCAUCAGGAAAGACAUCACUCACAGAAGAAGCACCGGCUAACUCCGUGCCAGCAGCCACGGUAAUACGGAGGGUGCGAGCGUUAAUCGGAAUUACUGGGCGUAAAGCGCGCGUAGGUGGCUUGAUAAGCCGGUUGUGAAAGCCCCGGGCUCAACCUGGGAACGGCAUCCGGAACUGUCAAGCUAGAGUGCAGGAGAGGAAGGUAGAAUUCCCGGUGUAGCGGUGAAAUGCGUAGAGAUCGGGAGGAAUACCAGUGGCGAAGGCGGCCUUCUGGACUGACACUGACACUGAGGUGCGAAAGCGUGGGUAGCAAACAGGAUUAGAUACCCCAGUAGUC